UUUCUAUCUAAAAUAGCAUUCAGUUGCAUUGAGGCGGUGUGGGCCAGUGAAUCAAACCCAUGUUUUAUGGACAUUUAGGAUUUUAUUAGUGGCAGUUUUCAUCUGGUCUGAAUGAAGGCAGGAAUGAAAACAAAUAAAGGGGAAUAACACGUGGUCUCAGUGUUUACACAAAUGAAACGAUGAAAACCUGGUGCACAGAGCCAGCCGGUGUGAACAUGUCGUUCAACAAAACCUGAGGUGGCUCCCUUCACAAGAGCUGGAAAAUACUGACUGACCACAAAGAGUGGACACAGGAGAAUCUGACUGAACAGUCCACGUUGACCUACGCGAUCUCACGGCUGCCAAACGCUUCAACUGCCCCUCCCAUUCCCACACUGACAUCUCUGUCUUGGGCCUCAUCCACUAUCAGAGUGAGGCCCAGCGUAAAUUGAAGGAAUAUCUUGCAGCCCAGCGACUCAAGAACACAAAGUAGUUGAGAUAGAAAAGCUGCCUCUGUUUCUAACACCAAGGAUGUCAAAAAUAAAAUGGGAGAUGAACGAGUCUGAAGAAGGGUCUCGACCCAAAACGUCACCCAUUCCUUCUCUCCAGAGAUGCUGCCUGCAGUCAACAAAUGAAAAGAUUAAACAGAAUAUCAUCAGCGGACAUUGUGGACUUGAACAGCAAAUAGAUCCGAUGAGAGACACAUAUAGCUGUGACCACAGAUUCCAAGUGCGGCCGGCACCUUAUUCAGUGGACUGCUAAUGUUAUUUAACAAAUAAAUAUCUCAUGAUUGUUUUUGAAUAUCUAUUUAUUAAAGCCUGCGACAAAUUAGCCCUCCAGCCCCGCAGAGCUCCUGAAUGUUAAUUGGGUUGUGUCAUGUAUGAUGUCACCAUGCUAAACACAAUCAUUUUUUUAUAUUCCAAAUUUUACAUCUAAAAACUUGACUCAAGUUUAGAAGAUCUGAGGAUUAC
This is a long non-coding RNA of Leucoraja erinaceus (little skate), 950 nucleotides long. RefSeq lists it as uncharacterized. Lineage: Eukaryota; Metazoa; Chordata; Chondrichthyes; Rajiformes; Rajidae. The transcript is spliced from 4 exons. The record is from RefSeq and is a predicted model, not a curated record.